ACACAUAUGCCCAGGUGACAU
This 21-nucleotide microRNA is filed under the name Monodelphis domestica (gray short-tailed opossum). RNAcentral describes it as "Mdo-Mir-7394-P2_5p* (star (passenger))". Lineage: Eukaryota; Metazoa; Chordata; Mammalia; Didelphimorphia; Didelphidae. The record is from RNAcentral.